UCCAAAAACUCGGCUGAGACUAGUUUCUUCAGGCCCACUGUUCUUUUAAGCCCAAGCAAAACUCGAUCCCGUUCGCUUCGCCGGGUCUCCCAUGCCGCCGGCGAGGAGCCCGGCCGCCGGCCUGCGGCGGCGCAAAGUCUUCCUCCCUCUCGUGUUGCUCCUCCCCCUUAUUCUACUGACCCUAAUCCUGAUCUUCCCAUCUCGCUCCAUCCCCGCGCUCCGCGACGCAGCUCUCAGGUCCCAACAGACCUGCGACUACGCUGCCGGCGGAUGGGUGCCCGACUCCUCCGCUGAGUCCCACCUCCGGUACGACCACACGUGCAAGGAGAUCUUCAAGGGGUGGAACUGCAUCGCUAAUGGCAAGCGCAACGGCCACGCCCUCCUCCGCUGGCGAUGGAAGCCCGCCGGGUGCGAGCUACUCCCCAGACUCGACCCGCUCCGGUUCUUAGAGCGUCACAGGAACACCAACAUUGGAUUUGUGGGUGAUUCUUUGAAUCGAAACAUGUUUGUCUCAUUGGUCUGCAUGCUCAGGGGAGUGAACGGAGAGGUUCACAAGUGGCGUCCAGCAGGGGCAGACCGAGGUUUCACAUUCCUACGCUACAACCUCACCCUCGCAUACCACCGAACUAAUCUUUUGGUACGCUAUGGCAGCUGGUCAGCCAGUCCAAACGGAGGUCCCCUAGAAUCUCUUGGAUACAAGCAAGGCCACAGGAUUGAUGUUGAUAUUGCCGACCAAACAUGGGCAGAGGCACCAAGCUUCCAUGAUAUUCUUAUUUUCAAUACAGGACAUUGGUGGUGGUCCUCUUCAAAGUUUGAUCCAAUACAGUCACCGAUGCUCUUCUUUGAGAAAGGGAAGCCGAUUAUACCUCCUUUACUGCCACCUGAAGGACUGGAUUUGACUCUUAAACACAUGAUAACAUUUGUGAACAAAGCAAUGAGACCCAAUGGAUUGAAAUUCUUCAGCACUCAAUCUCCUAGACAUUUUGAAGGUGGUGAUUGGAAUGAAGGUGGAUCUUGUCAACAUGACCAACCCUUGUCCUCUGAAGAGCCCAUUUACAAUCUCCUUCAUGUAUUGCUCCUCACGUCGUCUCAAGCAACGUGCUCGCGUGUAGGACGAAAGGAAUCAAACCAGCUCCCGCGCAAAACUAUAUAACCAGCACUAGAACCAACCUCAGGUCAAUCCAUCUGUCAACAGUUCAUUUCUCCGACGAGCGCGAUGAGGACGGCGUUGUCGCUUCUCUCCUUCCUCACCGUCUCAGUGCUUAUCCUCGCCCCCAUGGCGAUGGCGGACGGCUACAGCCAGCCGCAAGACUACCAGCCGCCGGCCUACAGGAAGCCCGCGGACGGCCUUGUCGCCGGAUACUACGGCGAGUCGUGCCCCGACAUGGAGGGCAUCGUCCAGAGGGCCGUCAAGAAGGCCUUCGCCGCAGACUACACCAUCGCCGCGGGCCUCAUCCGCCUCUUCUUCCACGACUUUGCCGUCGGGGGGUGCGACGCGUCGAUCCUGAUAGAUGCGCCGGGGAGCGAGAAGUACGCCGCGGCGAGCAAGACGCUCCGGGGCUUCGAGCUCAUCGAGGCCAUCAAGACGGAGCUGGAGGCCAAGUGCCCCGAGACCGUCUCCUGCGCCGACAUCCUCACCGCCGCCACCCGCGACGCCAGCAGGGAGGUGGGAGUGAGCUACUGGCCUCUCGUCUACGGCCGGAAGGACGGCCGCCAGUCCCGCAAAG
Molecule: RNA transcript, 1727 nt
Organism: Triticum aestivum (bread wheat)
Lineage: Eukaryota; Viridiplantae; Streptophyta; Magnoliopsida; Poales; Poaceae
Gene name: protein trichome birefringence-like 13
Exons: 7
Source: RefSeq, a predicted model, not a curated record